Molecule: ribosomal RNA, 468 nt
Filed under: uncultured bacterium
Lineage: Bacteria
Description: partial 16S ribosomal RNA
Rfam family: Bacterial small subunit ribosomal RNA
Source: RNAcentral
GACGAACGCUGGCGGCGCGCUUAACACAUGCAAGUCGAACGGAAAGGCCCUGCUUUUGUGGGGUGCUCGAGUGGCGAACGGGUGAGUAACACGUGAGUAACCUGCCCUUGACUUUGGGAUAACUUCAGGAAACUGGGGCUAAUACCGGAUAGGAGCUCCUGCUGCAUGGUGGGGAUUGGAAAGUUUCGGCGGUUGGGGAUGGACUCGCGGCUUAUCAGCUUGUUGGUGGGGUAGUGGAUUACCAAGGCUUUGACGGGUAGUCGGCCUGAGAGGUUGACCGGCCACAUGAGGACUAAGAUACGGCCCAGACGCGUACAGGGGGCAAUAGUGGGGAAUAUUACACAAUGGGCGGAAGCCUGAUGCAGCAACCCCCCGAGCGGGAUGACGGCCUUCGGGUGAUGAACCGCUUUCGCCUUUGAAAAAGCGUGAGUGACGGUAAUGGGUAAAGAAGCACCGGCUAAGUACGUG